ACGCUGGCGGCAGGCCUAACACAUGCAAGUCGAACGCCCCGCAUGGGGAGUGGCAGACGGGUGAGUAACGCGUGGGAACGUGCCCUUCGGUUCGGAAUAACUCAGGGAAACUUGAGCUAAUACCGGAUACGUCCGUAAGGAGAAAGAUUUAUCGCCGAAGGAUCGGCCCGCGUCGGAUUAGCUAGUUGGUGAGGUAACGGCCCACCAAGGCGACGAUCCGUAGCUGGUCUGAGAGGAUGAUCAGCCACACUGGGACUGAGACACGGCCCAGACUCCUACGGGAGGCAGCAGUGGGGAAUAUUGGACAAUGGGCGAAAGCCUGAUCCAGCCAUGCCGCGUGAGUGAAGAAGGCCUUAGGGUUGUAAAGCUCUUUCAGCGGGGAAGAUAAUGACGGUACCCGCAGAAGAAGCCCCGGCUAACUUCGUGCCAGCAGCCGCGGUAAUACGAAGGGGGCUAGCGUUGUUCGGAUUUACUGGGCGUAAAGCGCGCGUAGGCGGAUCACUAAGUCAGGGGUGAAAUCCCGAGGCUUAACCUCGGAACUGCCUUUGAUACUGGUGAUCUGGAGAUCGGGAGAGGUUGGUGGAAUUCCGAGUGUAGAGGUGAAAUUCGUAGAUAUUCGGAGGAACACCAGAAGCGAAGGCGGCCAACUGGCCCGAUACUGACGCUGAGGCGCGAAAGCGUGGGGA
Molecule: ribosomal RNA, 686 nt
Filed under: uncultured soil bacterium
Lineage: Bacteria
Description: bacterial SSU rRNA
Rfam family: Bacterial small subunit ribosomal RNA
Source: RNAcentral